This 95-nucleotide microRNA precursor is filed under the name Mesocricetus auratus (golden hamster). Its description in RNAcentral is "microRNA 30b (ENSMAUG00000003930.1)". The stretch from base 13 to 86 matches the Rfam family "mir-30 microRNA precursor family". From Rfam's summary of the family: This family consists of the mammalian microRNA (miRNA) precursor mir-30a. The record is from RNAcentral. Lineage: Eukaryota; Metazoa; Chordata; Mammalia; Rodentia; Cricetidae.
CUAAGCCAAGCUUCAGUUCAUGUAAACAUCCUACACUCAGCUGUCACACACGAGCUGGCUGGGAGGUGGAUGUUUACGUCAGCUGUCUUGGGGUA